Non-coding RNA from Acanthosepion pharaonis, 98 nucleotides. The record is from the annotation of a GenBank genome assembly. NCBI's taxonomy places the organism in Eukaryota, Metazoa, Mollusca, Cephalopoda, Sepiida, Sepiidae.
AUUGAAACACGACUUCCCAUAUGAUCACCAAAGUUAAACAACAUCAAGCCUGGUCAGUACUUAGAUAGUUGACUGCUUGGGAAUACCAUGUGCUGUAA